Molecule: ribosomal RNA, 850 nt
Filed under: uncultured bacterium
Lineage: Bacteria
Description: bacterial SSU rRNA
Rfam family: Bacterial small subunit ribosomal RNA
Source: RNAcentral
AGAGUUUGAUCAUGGCUCAGAUUGAACGCUGGCGGCAUGCCUUACACAUGCAAGUCGAACGGCAGCAUGAUCUAGCUUGCUAGAUUGAUGGCGAGUGGCGAACGGGUGAGUAAUACAUCGGAACGUGCCCUGUAGUGGGGGAUAACUAGUCGAAAGAUUAGCUAAUACCGCAUACGACCUGAGGGUGAAAGUGGGGGACCGCAAGGCCUCAUGCUAUAGGAGCGGCCGAUGUCUGAUUAGCUAGUUGGUGAGGUAAAGGCUCACCAAGGCGACGAUCAGUAGCUGGUCUGAGAGGACGAUCAGCCACACUGGGACUGAGACACGGCCCAGACUCCUACGGGAGGCAGCAGUGGGGAAUUUUGGACAAUGGGCGAAAGCCUGAUCCAGCAAUGGCCGCGUGUGUGAAGAAGGCCUUCGGGUUGUAAAGCACUUUUGUCCGGAACGAAAUGGCUCUGGUUAAUACCUGGGGUCGAUGACGGUACCGGAAGAAUAAGGACCGGCUAACUACGUGCCAGCAGCCGCGGUAAUACGUAGGGUCCAAGCGUUAAUCGGAAUUACUGGGCGUAAAGCGUGCGCAGGCGGUUGUGCAAGACCGAUGUGAAAUCCCCGAGCUUAACUUGGGAAUUGCAUUGGUGACUGCACGGCUAGAGUGUGUCAGAGGGGGGUAGAAUUCCACGUGUAGCAGUGAAAUGCGUAGAGAUGUGGAGGAAUACCGAUGGCGAAGGCAGCCCCCUGGGAUAACACUGACGCUCAUGCACGAAAGCGUGGGGAGCAAACAGGAUUAGAUACCCUGGUAGUCCACGCCCUAAACGAUGUCAACUAGUUGUUGGGGAUUCAUUUCCUUAGUAAC